AUGUUCUGGUUCAGCAGGAUAAAAUGCUCCCAGUGGUUGGAUCUUUGUGGUAAUAACGCUGCUGCGGUCCUUGGCUUGUUCUCUUUCUUUGGUAAGAGCAGCCAAUCUAGCCUCGAGCGUUCCAUUUGUGAAAAUGACGGAUCUAUAUUGGUUGCCAACAUCCGGUCCUUGUCCGAAGACCUCCCGUGGAUCGUGGCUUGCCCAGAACACAUCCAAAAGCUGCUUGUACUGAAUCUGACGGGGAUCAUAUUCGACCUGAACGGGUGAAGGGCAAGCAGAAGUCAAAGCCGGUCAUGGUAGCUCAGAAAUUACUCAAGCGCUGAUUAG
Molecule: ribosomal RNA, 327 nt
Filed under: Triticum aestivum (bread wheat)
Lineage: Eukaryota; Viridiplantae; Streptophyta; Magnoliopsida; Poales; Poaceae
Description: partial small subunit ribosomal RNA
Source: RNAcentral